UUUUGGCUUGUCACAUUGAGCCCCGUGAACUCAAGUCGUGUUAAUAAGGAAGAAGAGGAGAGUGGUUAUUGCCUAGGCAGCAAGCAAUGGGGCCAUAUUGGAAGACUGUGAGCCCUUUAAUAAGCAGCAGAGUAGAAAGUGGAGCCAUUUGCUGAGACUGGAAAAACAGCACUCCUGGUUCUCAGCCUUCAGCACAGGACUGGAAUCUGCACCAUCAGCUCUGUGGUUCUCAGGCCUUCUAGCUACACCACCAGCUGUCCUGGGUCUCUAGCAUGCAGACUGCAAAUCAUGGGACUCCUCAGCCUCCAUAAUCACAUGAGCCAAUUCCUUAUAAUAAAUCUUUCCCUAGAUAUACAUCUAUUUAUAUGUCCUAUUAGUUUUGUUUCUCUGGAAAACCAUGACUAAUACAGAUGCCAUGGCUAUAGGACUUUUCUGAUGAAGCUCAGCUGUCAGAUCCAUUUAACCAGUCUCUACGAACUUCCAAAAUUUCCCUCAUUUUCCUGUGUUCUUC
This 511-nucleotide long non-coding RNA is filed under the name Homo sapiens (human). Its description in RNAcentral is "HSALNT0100390". Lineage: Eukaryota; Metazoa; Chordata; Mammalia; Primates; Hominidae. The record is from RNAcentral.